GACGAACGCUGGCGGCGUGCUUAACACAUGCAAGUCGAACGAAGAGCGAUGGAAGCUUGCUUCUAUCAAUCUUAGUGGCGAACGGGUGAGUAACGCGUAAUCAACCUGCCCUUCAGAGGGGGACAACAGUUGGAAACGACUGCUAAUACCGCAUACGAUCUAAUCUCGGCAUCGAGGAUAGAUGAAAGGUGGCCUCUACAUGUAAGCUAUCACUGAAGGAGGGGAUUGCGUCUGAUUAGCUAGUUGGAGGGGUAACGGCCCACCAAGGCGAUGAUCAGUAGCCGGCCUGAGAGGAUGAACGGCCACAUUGGGACGGAGACACGGCCCAGACCCCUACGGGGGGCAGCAGGGGGGAAUCUUCCGCAAGGGACGAAGGUCUGACGGAGCAACGCCGCGUGAGUGAUGACGGCCGUCGGGUUGUAAAGCUCGGUUAAUCGGGACGAAAGGCCUUCUUGCGAAUAGGGAGAAGGAUUGACGGUACCGGAAUAGAAAGCCACGGCUAACUACGUG
This 510-nucleotide ribosomal RNA is filed under the name uncultured bacterium. RNAcentral's name for it is "partial 16S ribosomal RNA". It matches the Rfam family "Bacterial small subunit ribosomal RNA", at positions 28 to 507 of the family's 1533-position model. The record is from RNAcentral.